GGUCAACUCGGAGGAAGGUGGGGACGACGUCAAGUCAUCAUGCCCCUUAUAUCCAGGGCUGCAAACAUGCUACAAUGGCCGGUACAGAGGGCUGCGAGACCGCGAGGUUGAGCGAAUCCCAAAAAGCCGGUCUCAGUUCGGAUUGGAGUCUGCAACUCGACUCCAUGAAGGCGGAGUCGCUAGUAAUCGCGGAUCAGAAUGCCGCGGUGAAUACGUUCCCGGGCCUUGUACAC
This 233-nucleotide ribosomal RNA is filed under the name uncultured Alphaproteobacteria bacterium. Its description in RNAcentral is "partial 16S ribosomal RNA". It matches the Rfam family "Bacterial small subunit ribosomal RNA", at positions 1156 to 1388 of the family's 1533-position model. The record is from RNAcentral. Lineage: Bacteria; Pseudomonadati; Pseudomonadota; Alphaproteobacteria.